GGACAAAUAGCUUAGUGGUAGAGCACCCAGACGUUUUAAUCUGGGUUGCAUAGGUUCGAUUCCUGUUUUGUCCA
Molecule: transfer RNA, 74 nt
Filed under: bacterium
Lineage: Bacteria
Description: tRNA-Lys
Rfam family: tRNA
About the family: Transfer RNA (tRNA) molecules are approximately 80 nucleotides in length. Their secondary structure includes four short double-helical elements and three loops (D, anti-codon, and T loops). Further hydrogen bonds mediate the characteristic L-shaped molecular structure. tRNAs have two regions of fundamental functional importance: the anti-codon, which is responsible for specific mRNA codon recognition, and the 3' end, to which the tRNAs corresponding amino acid is attached (by aminoacyl-tRNA synthetases). tRNAs cope with the degeneracy of the genetic code in two manners: having more than one tRNA (with a specific anti-codon) for a particular amino acid; and 'wobble' base-pairing, i.e. permitting non-standard base-pairing at the 3rd anti-codon position.
Source: RNAcentral